This 718-nucleotide ribosomal RNA is filed under the name uncultured Bacillus sp. RNAcentral's name for it is "bacterial SSU rRNA". It matches the Rfam family "Bacterial small subunit ribosomal RNA", at positions 56 to 755 of the family's 1533-position model. The record is from RNAcentral. Lineage: Bacteria; Bacillati; Bacillota; Bacilli; Caryophanales; Bacillaceae.
UGCAAGUCGAGCGGACCGACGGGAGCUUGCUCCCUUAGGUCAGCGGCGGACGGGUGAGUAACACGUGGGUAACCUGCCUGUAAGACUGGGAUAACUCCGGGAAACCGGGGCUAAUACCGGAUGCUUGAUUGAACCGCAUGGUUUAAUUAUAAAAGGUGGCUUUUAGCUACCACUUACAGAUGGACCCGCGGCGCAUUAGCUAGUUGGUGAGGUAACGGCUCACCAAGGCAACGAUGCGUAGCCGACCUGAGAGGGUGAUCGGCCACACUGGGACUGAGACACGGCCCAGACUCCUACGGGAGGCAGCAGUAGGGAAUCUUCCGCAAUGGACGAAAGUCUGACGGAGCAACGCCGCGUGAGUGAUGAAGGUUUUCGGAUCGUAAAACUCUGUUGUUAGGGAAGAACAAGUACCGUUCGAAUAGGGCGGUACCUUGACGGUACCUAACCAGAAAGCCACGGCUAACUACGUGCCAGCAGCCGCGGUAAUACGUAGGUGGCAAGCGUUGUCCGGAAUUAUUGGGCGUAAAGCGCGCGCAGGCGGUUUCUUAAGUCUGGUGUGAAAGCCCCCGGCUCAACCGGGGAGGGUCAUUGGAAACUGGGGAACUUGAGUGCAGAAGAGGAGAGUGGAAUUCCACGUGUAGCGGUGAAAUGCGUAGAGAUGUGGAGGAACACCAGUGGCGAAGGCGACUCUCUGGUCUGUAACUGACGCUGAGGCGCG